ACUUAAAUAAUUUAAAUAAAAUAUUGAUUUGUGGAGUCAAAAAUAUGAAUUGAUCAUUUUAAGUU
This 65-nucleotide transfer RNA is filed under the name Gonepteryx rhamni (common brimstone butterfly). RNAcentral describes it as "tRNA-His". RNAcentral also lists the same sequence under 1 other name. The record is from RNAcentral. Lineage: Eukaryota; Metazoa; Arthropoda; Insecta; Lepidoptera; Pieridae.